Molecule: ribosomal RNA, 519 nt
Filed under: uncultured eukaryote
Lineage: Eukaryota
Description: bacterial SSU rRNA
Rfam family: Eukaryotic small subunit ribosomal RNA
Source: RNAcentral
AGGGCACCACCAGGAGUGGAGCCUGCGGCUUAAUUUGACUCAACACGGGAAAACUUACCCGGCCCGGACACUGGAAGGAUUGACAGAUUGAGAGCUCUUUCUUGAUUCAGUGGGCGGUGGUGCAUGGCCGUUCUUAGUUGGUGGAGCGAUUUGUCUGGUUAAUUCCGAUAACGAACGAGACUCUAGCCUACUAAAUAGACUGUUCAGCUUUAUAGCCGGAAUCACCGGGCAUGUAACUUUCGGGUUGCGUGUUCGGUUCUGGUGACGUUGGCAGUGCUUCUUAGAGGGACAGGCGGCGGUUCAGCCGCACGAAACAGAGCAAUAACAGGUCUGUGAUGCCCUUAGAUGUCCGGGGCUGCACGCGCGCUACACUGAAGUGAUCAGCGUGCAAUUUACGUUUGGUGAUCUGUCAAGAUUGCCCAACCCGUUGAACCUUCUUCGUGAUUGGGAUAGGGGAUUGUAAUUAUUCCCCUUGAACGAGGAAUUCCCAGUAAGCGCAAGUCAUAAGCUGGCGUUGAU